AAAACCUUAUUCUUACAGAUCAUUAAAUGCAAUGGAUCCUGGAAAGCUGGGAGAGAUAUUGAAGCACUUGGAGAUGCAGAACGAGCUCCUGACGAAAGCGUCUGAAUCAAUGAUACAAGAAUUGUCUAAGCUUCGGGCAGAAGAAGAAAUGAUGAUGCACAAAUAUUAUGCUAUUAUGUCGGAGCAUGGUUAAGUUAAAAAGGUUCAUGAACUUCAUGAAUUUUGUUCAUGAAUUUUGGCAGAAGCAUGGCAACGGAAAAGUUUCAACUGACUAUGCAACCGAAAACUCAGUCACACUGUUACAAGCCAUAUCUUAAUUGUGAGAAACUUAAUUUUGUACGAGACUAAUAUUGUGUGUGAGAGAGAGAGGCCACAUCUUCAGAUAUCCCUGACAUAUUCCAGGAUAGACCUACUCGAUUAUCAGAUUCUGUUGUCUGAAUAAUUGCUUGGUUUGAUACUGAAAUUUUUUAAAACGC
RNA transcript from Fragaria vesca subsp. vesca, 476 nucleotides. RefSeq lists it as uncharacterized. Lineage: Eukaryota; Viridiplantae; Streptophyta; Magnoliopsida; Rosales; Rosaceae. The record is from RefSeq and is a predicted model, not a curated record. The transcript is spliced from 5 exons.